GUAGGGAAUCUUGCGCAAUGGGCGAAAGCCUGACGCAGCCAUGCCGCGUGAAUGAUGAAGGUCUUAGGAUUGUAAAAUUCUUUCACCGGGGACGAUAAUGACGGUACCCGGAGAAGAAGCCCCGGCUAACUUCGUGCCAGCAGCCGCGGUAAUACGAAGGGGGCUAGCGUUGCUCGGAAUUACUGGGCGUAAAGGGAGCGUAGGCGGAUAGUUUAGUAAGAGGUGAAAGCCCAGGGCUCAACCUUGGAAUUGCCUUUGAUACUGGCUAUCUUGAGUAUGGAAGAGGUAUGUGGAACUCCGAGUGUAGAGGUGAAAUUCGUAGAUAUUCGGAAGAACACCAGUGGCGAAGGCGACAUACUGGUCCAUUACUGACGCUGAGGCUCGAAAGCGUGGGGAGCAAACAGGAUUAGAUACCCUAGUAGUCC
RNAcentral lists this ribosomal RNA (425 nucleotides) under uncultured bacterium. RNAcentral's name for it is "partial 16S ribosomal RNA". It matches the Rfam family "Bacterial small subunit ribosomal RNA", at positions 354 to 796 of the family's 1533-position model. The record is from RNAcentral.